ACUCCAUGAAGCUGGAUUCGCUGUAAUGGCAGGUCAGCAUACUGCCGUGAAUACGUUCCCGGGCCUUGUACACACCGCCCGUCACACCAUGAGAGUUGGAAAUACCCGAAGCCUGUGAGCUAACUGUAAAGAGGCAGCAGUCGAAGGUAGAGCCAAUGAUUGGGGUGAAGUCGUAACAAGGUAGC
This 185-nucleotide ribosomal RNA is filed under the name uncultured bacterium. RNAcentral describes it as "partial 16S ribosomal RNA". It matches the Rfam family "Bacterial small subunit ribosomal RNA", at positions 1315 to 1500 of the family's 1533-position model. The record is from RNAcentral.